UACGUAGGUGGCAAGCGUUGUCCGGAAUUAUUGGGCGUAAAGCGCGCGCAGGCGGUUAUGUAAGUCUGAUGUUAAAGCCCGGGGCUCAACCUCCGUUCGCAUUGGAAACUGUGUAACUUGAGUGCAGAAGAGGAAAGUGGUAUUCCACGUGUAGCGGUGAAAUGCGUAGAGAUGUGGAGGAAAACCAGUGGCGAAGGCGACUUUCUGGUCUGUAACUGAAGCUGGGGCGCGAAAGGGUGGGGAGCAAACAGG
RNAcentral lists this ribosomal RNA (252 nucleotides) under uncultured bacterium. Its description in RNAcentral is "partial 16S ribosomal RNA". It matches the Rfam family "Bacterial small subunit ribosomal RNA", at positions 524 to 776 of the family's 1533-position model. The record is from RNAcentral.